Molecule: long non-coding RNA, 1173 nt
Filed under: Ficedula albicollis (Collared flycatcher)
Lineage: Eukaryota; Metazoa; Chordata; Aves; Passeriformes; Muscicapidae
Description: lncRNA (ENSFALG00000023630.1)
Source: RNAcentral
CCGGAGACUUUUUCCUUGGCUUUCCUGGAAGCGGUGAAUCACCUCGCUCCUUUCCUGGGGCGGGGAGACCCGUGCGACAUCCGCGCUCGGGCUGUGCCACCUCCUGGUGACAGCGGGCGGUGCGUCCCUGCAGCCCUGCAUCCUUUCAUUCCUGUGUCCUUGUGCCCCUGCAUCCCUGCAUCUUUCAUCCCUGCAUCGCUGCAUCCUUUCAUUCCUGUGUCCUUGUGUCCCUGCAUCCCUGAAUCCUUCAUCCCUGCAUCGCUGCAUCCUUUCAUUCCUGUGUCCUUGUGUCCCUGCAUCCCUGAAUCCUUCAUCCCUGCAUCGCUGCAUCCUUUCAUUCCUGUGUCCUUGUGUCCCUGCAUCCCUGAAUCCUUCAUCCCUGCAUCGCUGCAUCCUUUCAUUCCUGUGUCCUUGUGUCCCUGCAUCCCUGAAUCCUUCAUCCCUGCAUCGCUGCAUCCUUUCAUUCCUGUGUCCUUGUGUCCCUGCAUCCCUGAAUCCUUCAUCCCUGCAUCGCUGCAUCCUUUCAUUCCUGUGUCCUUGUGUCCCUGCAUCCCUGAAUCCUUCAUCCCUGCAUCGCUGCAUCCUUUCAUUCCUGUGUCCUUGUGUCCCUGCAUCCCUGAAUCCUUCAUCCCUGCAUCGCUGCAUCCUUUCAUUCCUGUGUCCUUGUGUCCCUGCAUCCCUGAAUCCUUCAUCCCUGCAUCGCUGCAUCCUUUCAUUCCUGUGUCCUUGUGUCCCUGCAUCCCUGAAUCCUUCAUCCCUGCAUCGCUGCAUCCUUUCAUUCCUGUGUCCUUGUGUCCCUGCAUCCCUGAAUCCUUCAUCCCUGCAUCGCUGCAUCCUUUCAUUCCUGUGUCCUUGUGUCCCUGCAUCCCUGAAUCCUUCAUCCCUGCAUCGCUGCAUCCUUUCAUUCCUGUGUCCUUGUGUCCCUGCAUCCCUGAAUCCUUCAUCCCUGCAUCGCUGCAUCCUUUCAUUCCUGUGUCCUUGUGUCCCUGCAUCCCUGCCUCGCUGAAUCCCUGCAUCCCUUCAUCCCUGUAUCCUUUCAUCCCUGCAUCCCUUCAUUCCUGUGUCCUUUUUUCCCUUCAUCCCUGCAUCUUUCAUCUCUGCAUUCCUGUAUCCUUUCAUCCCUGUAUUCCUGCAUCCUUUCAUUCCUGUGUUCUUGUGUCCCUGCAUCCCUGA